CGAAAAUAACAACGAAGUACCUCUUCAAUGGAUAAAGGGUCACAGUAACUUACGAGAGAACGAUGCCGCUGAUGAAUUGGCCAGGAGGGGCUCAGCGAUGACAGCAAAAGGACCAGAACCAACUAUCCCUCUCCCGCCUAGUUGGCCUGCAACGGUGUCACCGACAGUCCACUGUGCAGAGCCUGCAUGGAAGUAGAUGAAACAGCCGCACACGUCAUUCUGGAGUGUAGGAGUGUGGCUACAUACCGGGCCAAACACCUGGGGUAACCGAGGACUCUCCCCGAGGUCAUGGGUAGCAUCAGAGGUUUGAUACAAUACCUUGAGGAGCUGGGUUGGCAGGAUUAGCCGCCCACCUCACCACGAAAAAUAGGCGCGCUGUAGUCGUCGAGUUGCGGAUAAUAGCCCGUGAUAACCUAUAACCUAUAGAUACCAAUAGUCAACAAUGAACGUGACAAAUUUAGCAGAGGCGACAGUUUCCGCAAAAAAAGGAAGUUACUACUUACUAUAAAUUAAUUAAUUAUUAUAACUUAUACAAAUAAGUAAUAACAAUUACUUUAUAUUACGAUUCAUUUUAUCACCUAAUCUUGGACUAAAGCUCUAUUAACUACAAUAUUUUUUACCUCCUUACGGGAUACUAAGUCCAACCCCUAAGUUCUAUUUUAAUAACCGUAUAACUUUUAUUUUUCAGGUGUGUCAUAUCAACACAAAUAUGUGUAUAAAAUAGCAGUUCCGUAUUUUCUCGGAAUAAAAAAAAAUCACGAAACAAGCAAGAGAUAGAUCAAUGAGAUUGGUAACUCCAAUGUCCGGAAACGUUUAGUGGAGAGCAGCUUUCCCGUACACGAGAUAAUGAAAGAGAAUUGGCGCCAGUUGGUAGCAAGAGGGAGAUAUGAGGAAAUUUAUAAACCUAAUAAGCAUAUUUAUAUUUCUCCUCUAAAGGAUUUAAGCGUUUUUGGAUUUAACCAAAUUUAAAAUUUGACAA
This is a long non-coding RNA of Leptidea sinapis, 979 nucleotides long. RefSeq lists it as uncharacterized. NCBI's taxonomy places the organism in Eukaryota, Metazoa, Arthropoda, Insecta, Lepidoptera, Pieridae. The transcript is spliced from 3 exons. The record is from RefSeq and is a predicted model, not a curated record.